UAGGUUUGACAUGGACGUGGUACCCGGGGCGAAAGCUUUGGGGACCCGCAAGGGAGCGUUCACAGGUGCUGCAUGGCUGUCGUCAGCUCGUGUCGUGAGAUGUUCGGUUAAGUCCGGCAACGAGCGCAACCCUCGCCUCCAGUUACCAGCGAGUAAAGUCGGGGACUCUGGAGGGACUAACCCGUUAGGGUGGGAAGGUGGGGAUGACGUCAAGUCAGUAUGGCCCUUACAUCUAGGGCUGCACACGUGCUACAAUGCCUGGUACAAAAGGAACCAAGACCGCGAGGUGGAGGAAAUCCCUAAAGCCAGGCCCAGUUCAGAUUGGAGUCUGCAACUCGACUCCAUGAAGCCGGAAUCGCUAGUAAUGGAGAUCAGUACGUACCGGA
Molecule: ribosomal RNA, 386 nt
Filed under: uncultured bacterium
Lineage: Bacteria
Description: bacterial SSU rRNA
Rfam family: Bacterial small subunit ribosomal RNA
Source: RNAcentral